CGAAGGUAGCAUAAUCAGUAGUUUUUUAAUUGAAAACUUGUAUGAAUGGUUUUACGAAAUAUUAGCUGUUUCUAAAAAAUUAAUUGAAUUUUAUAUUUUAGUAAAAAAGCUAAAAUUAUAUUAAAAGACGAGAAGACCCUAUAGAUUUUUAUAAAAUUAUUAUUUUUAUUUUUAUAAUAUUUUUAAAAUUUAAGUUUAUGUUUUAUUUUAUUGGGGUGAUAGUAAAAUAUAUUAAUCUUUUAUUUAAUUUAUUCAUAAAUUAAUGAAUUAUUGAUCCAAUUAUUUUGAUUAAAAGAUUAAAUUACCUUAGGGAUAACAGCGUUAUUUUUUUGAAGAGUUCAAAUCGAUAAAAAAUUUUGCGACCUCGAUGUUGGAUUA
RNAcentral lists this ribosomal RNA (378 nucleotides) under Metanepsia sp. DK-2013. RNAcentral's name for it is "partial 16S ribosomal RNA". The record is from RNAcentral. Lineage: Eukaryota; Metazoa; Arthropoda; Insecta; Diptera; Mycetophilidae.